AAAUAGAACUUUGCAGAGAGAGUUAACAGGGCGUGAAACCGUUAAUUGGCAAACGAAUCGGAGCCACGAAGUCGUUUCGUUGUUUAGUUGCGCUAGGUUCAGUUGGCAAACGAAAGUUUGUCGGCGUAUUCCUAAGUGUGGCCUAACUUUGUAAGCGUACACUGCAACCAGUUAGACGAUUGGCCAUGGGCACAGUUGUUUACAGUUAGAAGUAGUGCGGUGCAUUUCGGUGCAUUUGUGUUGCUAAAUUGUAAUAGGAGAACUAUGGCCAAAUACUGACUGGCACAAUGAAAAUCGCGCUUGCGCGUUUUAAACAAAGCGGCUAUCCACAUUGGUAUCUACAUGCUGGUCGCGUGUGUCUAAGCUCAGCGCUUUUGAAUUCGGACUUGCAUCCUACCAAUGGGGCAACUCUUGGUGCUUGUAUAGAUUCGUCUAAUCGGGCGUUGACUUGGCAUUCGUGUUCUAGUAUGAAGCGAUUGGAUUUUAAUGCGAGAUGGUCCGCAAUGAUUGGCAGUGAGUAGGUCGGCUUUCCGAACGACCCGUCUUGAAACACGGACCAAGGAGUCUAAUUAGGUAUCGAGUCGAUCGGUCUUGAAUAGGCCAGACUAGUGCGGGCGUGCUGAGAAGGCGUAGAGACAAUCAUGUGAUCGUGCGGCAAAACAGCCGUUUCGCGCAACAUGUGCCUGUUCGUAUAGCAAUGUAGCAAUAAUUGCUGAGCGGAGCAAAGAGAUACCUGAUUGGUACCCGAAAGAUGGUGAUGCCUGGGCAAAUUGAAGCCAGAGGAAACUCUGGUGGAGGAUUUAGAUUCUGACGUGCAAAUCGAUCGUCAGACCUGGGUUAGGGGCGAAAGACUAAUCGAACCAUC
This 865-nucleotide ribosomal RNA is filed under the name Paraphytoptus lithocarpis. RNAcentral describes it as "partial large subunit ribosomal RNA". It matches the Rfam family "Eukaryotic large subunit ribosomal RNA", at positions 366 to 944 of the family's 3401-position model. The record is from RNAcentral. Lineage: Eukaryota; Metazoa; Arthropoda; Arachnida; Trombidiformes; Eriophyidae.